RNAcentral lists this small RNA (136 nucleotides) under Salmonella enterica subsp. enterica serovar Dublin. RNAcentral describes it as "RtT sRNA". It matches the Rfam family "RtT RNA". From Rfam's summary of the family: This family represents a bacterial cis-regulatory element known as RtT RNA. The exact function of RtT is unknown although it is thought that it may be involved in changing the cellular response in relation to amino acid starvation. Lineage: Bacteria; Pseudomonadati; Pseudomonadota; Gammaproteobacteria; Enterobacterales; Enterobacteriaceae. The record is from RNAcentral.
AUAUCUCUCUGUACGGGAAGGAUGAGAAGCUUCGACUAAGGUUCGAUUCGAGCGUCAGCGAGAAAGCGUUGCCGCAGGCAACGACCCGAAGGGCGAAGCGCGCAGCGCUGAGUCAUCCAUCCUUCCCCCACCACCA